UCGAGCGAAUCUUAAGGUGCUUGCACCUUUUGGUUAGCGGCGGACGGGUGAGUAACACGUGGGCAACCUGCCUGUAAGACUGGGAUAACUUCGGGAAACCGGAGCUAAUACCGGAUAAUCCUUUUCCUCUCAUGAGGAAAAGCUGAAAGUCGGUUUCGGCUGACACUUACAGAUGGGCCCGCGGCGCAUUAGCUAGUUGGUGAGGUAACGGCUCACCAAGGCGACGAUGCGUAGCCGACCUGAGAGGGUGAUCGGCCACACUGGGACUGAGACACGGCCCAGACUCCUACGGGAGGCAGCAGUAGGGAAUCUUCCGCAAUGGACGAAAGUCUGACGGAGCAACGCCGCGUGAGCGAUGAAGGCCUUCGGGUCGUAAAGCUCUGUUGUUAGGGAAGAACAAGUAUCGGAGUAACUGCCGGUACCUUGACGGUACCUAACCAGAAAGCCACGGCUAACUACGUGCCAGCAGCCGCGGUAAUACGUAGGUGGCAAGCGUUGUCCGGAAUUAUUGGGCGUAAAGCGCGCGCAGGCGGUCCUUUAAGUCUGAUGUGAAAGCCCACGGCUCACCGUGGAGGGUCAUUGGAAACUGGGGGACUUGAGUACAGAAGAGGAAAGCGGAAUUCCACGUGUAGCGGUGAAAUGCGUAGAGAUGUGGAGGAACACCAGUGGCGAAGGCGGCUUUCUGGUCUGUAACUGACG
RNAcentral lists this ribosomal RNA (699 nucleotides) under Neobacillus niacini. Its description in RNAcentral is "bacterial SSU rRNA". It matches the Rfam family "Bacterial small subunit ribosomal RNA", at positions 62 to 745 of the family's 1533-position model. Lineage: Bacteria; Bacillati; Bacillota; Bacilli; Caryophanales; Bacillaceae. The record is from RNAcentral.